CAGAUUGAACGCUGGCGGCAGGCCUAACACAUGCAAGUCGAACGGUAACAGGAAGCAGCUUGCUGCUUCGCUGACGAGUGGCGGACGGGUGAGUAAUGUCUGGGAAACUGCCUGAUGGAGGGGGGAUAACUACUGGAAACGGUAGCUAAUACCGCAUAACGUCGCAAGACCAAAGAGGGGGACCUUCGGGCCUCUUGCCAUCAGAUGUGCCCAGAUGGGAUUAGCUAGUUGGUGAGGUAACGGCUCACCAAGACGAUGAUACGUAGCCGACCUGAGAGGGUGAUCGGCCACAUUGGGACUGAGACACGGCCCAAACUCCUACGGGAGGCAGCAGUAGGGAAUCUUCCGCAAUGGACGAAAGUCUGACGGAGCAACGCCGCGUGAGUGAAGAAGGUUUUCGGAAUCGUAAAACUCUGUUGUCAGAGAAGAACAAGUUGGAGAGUAACUGCUCCAGCCUUGACGGUAUCUGACCAGAAAGCCACGGCUAACUACGUGCCAGCAGCAGC
Molecule: ribosomal RNA, 506 nt
Filed under: uncultured bacterium
Lineage: Bacteria
Description: bacterial SSU rRNA
Rfam family: Bacterial small subunit ribosomal RNA
Source: RNAcentral